GAAUACAUGAUAUAAUCAUCGAGACAGUAAAGUUUAAUGACGGUGGCAACUUCAAAAAAGGUGGGGGUGCUUAUGUUGGUAAGUGCUAAAAUCAAUGAAAGGAGUAGCCUUUUGUUCGCAUAUGAGACAAUUCAAACCAUUCUCGCCUUUGGUAUGUUUACCAUGACUUUGAUUGGUUUGGU
This is a non-coding RNA of Enterococcus villorum ATCC 700913, 182 nucleotides long. Lineage: Bacteria; Bacillati; Bacillota; Bacilli; Lactobacillales; Enterococcaceae. The record is from Rfam.